CGUCUCAGUUCGGAUUGCAGGCUGCAACUCGCCUGUAUGAAGUCGGAAUUGCUAGUAAUCGCGGAUCAGCAUGCCGCGGUGAAUACGUUCCCGGGCCUUGUACACACCGCCCGUCACACCAUGAGAGCCGGGAACACCCGAAGUCCGUAGUCUAACCGUAAGGAGGACGCGGCCGAAGGUGGGUUUGGUAAUUGGGGUGAAGUCGUAACAAGGUACC
This 217-nucleotide ribosomal RNA is filed under the name uncultured bacterium. RNAcentral describes it as "partial 16S ribosomal RNA". It matches the Rfam family "Bacterial small subunit ribosomal RNA", at positions 1284 to 1500 of the family's 1533-position model. The record is from RNAcentral.